GACGAACGCUUUCUUCUUUCUUAACACAUGCAAGUCGAACGGAAAGGCCUGCUUUCCCUUGUGGAUUGCGGGUACUCGAGUGGCGAACGGGUGAGUAACACGUGAGUGAUCUGCCCCCAACUUGGGUAUAAGCCUGGGAAACUGGGUCUAAUUCCCGAUAGGACUGCAGGGUGGUGCCUGUGGUGGAAAACGAUUUUCUAGUGGUUGGGGAUGAGCUCGCGGCCUAUCAGCUUGUUGGUGGGGUAAUGGCCUCCCAAGGCGGCGACGGGUAGCCGGCCUGAGAGGGUGGACGGCCACAUUGGGACUGAGAUACGGCCCAGACUCCUACGGGAGGCAGCAGUGGGGAAUAUUGCACAAUGGGCGGAAGCCUGAUGCAGCGACGCCGAGUGGGGGAUGACGGCCUUCGGGUUGUAAACUCCUUUCGACCGCGAGGAAGCCACCUGGUUGGAAGGGUGGUGACGGUAGUGGUAGAAGAAGCACCGGCUAACUACGGG
Molecule: ribosomal RNA, 494 nt
Filed under: uncultured bacterium
Lineage: Bacteria
Description: partial 16S ribosomal RNA
Rfam family: Bacterial small subunit ribosomal RNA
Source: RNAcentral